This 28-nucleotide small RNA is filed under the name Bombyx mori (domestic silkworm). RNAcentral describes it as "ovarian small RNA-26929". Lineage: Eukaryota; Metazoa; Arthropoda; Insecta; Lepidoptera; Bombycidae. The record is from RNAcentral.
UCCAUAUGGACCGCAGAAAAUCGUCUGG